UACGUAGGGGGCUAGCGUUGUCCGGAAUCAUUGGGCGUAAAGAGCGUGUAGGCGGUCCGGUAAGUCCGCUGUGAAAGUCGGGGGCUCAACCCUCGAAUGCCGGUGGAUACUGUCGGGCUAGAGUGCGGAAGAGGCGAGUGGAAUUCCUGGUGUAGCGGUGAAAUGCGCAGAUAUCGGGAGGAACACCUAUUGCGAAGGCAGCUCGCUGGGACGUAACUGACGCUGAGACGCGAAAGCGUGGGGAGCAAACAGG
This 253-nucleotide ribosomal RNA is filed under the name uncultured bacterium. RNAcentral's name for it is "partial 16S ribosomal RNA". It matches the Rfam family "Bacterial small subunit ribosomal RNA", at positions 524 to 776 of the family's 1533-position model. The record is from RNAcentral.